CCUACGGGAGGCAGCAGUGAGGAAUAUUGGUCAAUGGACGAGAGUCUGAACCAGCCAAGUAGCGUGAAGGAUGACUGCCCUCUGGGUUGUAAACUUCUUUUAUAAAGGAAUAAAACGAGGCACGUGUGCCUUUUUGCAUGUACUUUAUGAUUAAGGAUCGGCUAAAUCCGUGCCAGCAGCCGCGGUACUACGGAGGAGCCGAGCGUUAUCCGGAUUUAGUGGGUUCAAAGGGAGCGUAGAUGGGUUGUUAGGUGAGUUGUGAAAGUUUGCGGCUCAACCGUAAAAUUGCAAUUGAGACUGGCAGUCUUGAUGACAGUUGAGGUAGGCGGAAUUCGUGGUGUAGCGGUGAAAUGCUUCGAUAUCACGAAGAACCCCGAUUGCGAAGGCAGCUUACUAAACUGUGACUGACAUUGAUGCUCGAAAGUGUGGGUAUCAAACAGGAUUAGAUACCCUGGUAGUC
RNAcentral lists this ribosomal RNA (460 nucleotides) under uncultured bacterium. Its description in RNAcentral is "partial 16S ribosomal RNA". It matches the Rfam family "Bacterial small subunit ribosomal RNA", at positions 338 to 795 of the family's 1533-position model. The record is from RNAcentral.